Molecule: ribosomal RNA, 449 nt
Filed under: uncultured prokaryote
Description: bacterial SSU rRNA
Rfam family: Bacterial small subunit ribosomal RNA
Source: RNAcentral
UGGGGAAUAUUGGACAAUGGGCGCAAGCCUGAUCCAGCAAUGCCGCGUGGGUGAAGAAGGCCUUCGGGUUGUAAAGCCCUUUCAGCAGGGAAGAAAAGCCGCUUGCGAACAGUGAGUGGUGCUGACGGUACCUGCAGAAGAAGCACCGGCUAACUCCGUGCCAGCAGCCGCGGUAAUACGGAGGGUGCAAGCGUUAAUCGGAAUUACUGGGCGUAAAGGGCGCGUAGGCGGCUGUUUAAGUCGGGUGUGAAAGCCCCGGGCUCAACCUGGGAAUUGCAUUCGAUACUGGAUGGCUGGAGUGUGGUAGAGGGAAGCGGAAUUCCGGGUGUAGCGGUGAAAUGCGUAGAUAUCCGGAGGAACAUCAGUGGCGAAGGCGGCUUCCUGGACCAACACUGACGCUGAGGCGCGAAAGCGUGGGGAGCAAACAGGAUUAGAUACCCCCGUAGUCC